UCCAUCAUAAUUAGUGGAAUCUUGUCAUUUUUUGCUUAUUAUUUUUUUUCAUUUGCUUAAAGCAAUUUUCUAUACCAAUUGCCAAUUAUUUGUUUGAAUUCUCCCCUUGUCAUUGUAUAUAUAGUCCAAAUCCAAUAAAUCUAUAAAUUGGACUUACUACUGUUAUAUGCCAUUACCAUUGUUAUUUACAUGAAUUCUAGUUUUACUCCAGUCAUUGGUUCAUAAACGAGAAAUUAAUUCCACAAAUCUAUGUUGACCAGUAGUUUGGUUUAGAGAAAAGUUUUGCAUUUAAUCAACUAGACUAUGUUUUUACUUGUUCUGGUUCAUCAACUUGGCUAAUGGCAUAUCCACUAAUUAAAUAUCUAUGAGCUGAGUACUCAAGUCUCAGAGCAUCUUAUUAAUUUAAGUAUUACUAGUAAAUAGUUGUUUAAAUCUGAUUUCAAUUUGGCUGGUGCCUUGUUACUUAAUGAAAUUCUUUGAUGAUAUUUCUUAUGAAGAGUCUAAACAUGUGCUCUAACUAUCUUUGAUAGACAAUGCUCUGUUGAGGUUAGGUUUCUUCAUUCAUGUUUUGUCUAGUGCAACUUAAGCAGUUUAUUCAUUUUAGGCUUGUUGUUCAGAAACUUUAACCCAAGGAUCCUGCACUAGCAAUUAAAAUCAUUGAAGAGAAACCAUUCGUUUAAGCAGCUUUUAUUUACACUUUAAUUGUAAACAUGUUUAAUUUAUUAAGUAUGUUUGACAGUGGUUAUUGUAAUCCUAGUGAUGACUAAGUGAUUAUAAUGCAUUUAUAUAGUAAAUACAAGAGGUGCACAAGAAAGCAAGGUAAUCCUAGUGAUGACUAAGCUUCGACUCUGCUGUAUGAACUUACUUGUGUCAAUAUGAUCUUCUGCUUUAGUGGCAGCUAUGAUUAUGGCAGUGAAAACAUUUCACAACUACUGAAUUUAAAUUGGAUUUUUUUUUUGUCGAUAAUAGAUACUUGUGACAGACUUUGAAUUCUUUAGUUUGGACUAUUAGGAACUGGUGUAGUGCUAUGAAUGUAUGGCCUGCCCUUAUUGUUGAGACAAGCAAUGCUUUCAGGGCUUUAUACAGGGCAUUCUAACAUCAUCUAAACAGGCUGAUAUGACCAUGUUAGAAGAUGAACUACCAACAAAAAGAUGACUUUCAUCAGCCCUUGUCAAGGUAUAUUGAGAUGAUUUCUUUGGAGCAAUUCUUGACAACAUUUGUAGUUGAGGCCUUUAGAAUGGAAGAAUGUAUUUCACUAAUUUUCGUAUACAUUUCUUGUUUUGUAUUUAGUGAUAAAGUAAUCUGAAUUGGGCAUAAAUUAUGUUGUAAUAUGAUUUCUUAAGCCUAGACUAGUAGACUAAAUAUUGUAAUUACAUUUGAGUAA
Molecule: long non-coding RNA, 1384 nt
Organism: Humulus lupulus (European hop)
Lineage: Eukaryota; Viridiplantae; Streptophyta; Magnoliopsida; Rosales; Cannabaceae
Exons: 3
Source: RefSeq, a predicted model, not a curated record